ACGAACGCUGGCGGCGUGCUUAACCCCUGCAAGUCGAGCGGAAAGGCCCUUCGGGGUACUCGAGCGGCGAACGGGUGAGUAACACGUGAGUAAUCUGCCCUUGGCUUUGGGAUAACUACCGGAAACGGUGGCUAAUACCGGAUACGACAACCGUCUGCAUGGGCUGGUUGUGGAAAGUUUUUUCGGCCAGGGAUGUGCUCGCGGCCUAUCAGCUUGUUGGUGGGGUAAUGGCCUACCAAGGCUUCGACGGGUAGCCGGCCUGAGAGGGUGACCGGCCACACUGGGACUGAGACACGGCCCAGACUCCUACGGGAGGCAGCAGUGGGGAAUAUUGGACAAUGGGCGGAAGCCUGAUCCAGCAACGCCGCGUGAGGGAUGACGGCCUUCGGGUUGUAAACCUCUUUCAGUACCGACGAAGCGCCGAUGAUGGUGGUGACGGUAGGUACAGAAGAAGCACCGGCCAACUACGUG
This 471-nucleotide ribosomal RNA is filed under the name uncultured bacterium. RNAcentral's name for it is "partial 16S ribosomal RNA". It matches the Rfam family "Bacterial small subunit ribosomal RNA", at positions 29 to 507 of the family's 1533-position model. The record is from RNAcentral.